This 465-nucleotide ribosomal RNA is filed under the name uncultured bacterium. Its description in RNAcentral is "partial 16S ribosomal RNA". It matches the Rfam family "Bacterial small subunit ribosomal RNA", at positions 28 to 507 of the family's 1533-position model. The record is from RNAcentral.
GACGAACGCUGGCGGCGUGCUUAACACAUGCCAGUCGAACGGAAAGGCCCUGCUUGCAGGGUACUCGAGUGGCGAACGGGUGAGUAACACGUGGGUGAUCUGCCCUGCACUUCGGGAUAAGCCUGGGAAACUGGGUCUAAUACCGGAUAGGAGCCAUUUUUAGUGUGAUGGUUGGAAAGUUUUUUCGGUGUAGGAUGAGCUCGCGGCCUAUCAGCUUGUUGGUGGGGUAAUGGCCUACCAAGGCGGCGACGGGUAGCCGGCCUGAGAGGGUGGACGGCCACAUUAGGACUGAGAUACGGACCAGACUCCUACGGGAGGCAGCAGUGGGAAGUAUUGCACAAUGGGCGCAAGCCUGAUGCAGCGACGCCGCGUGGGGGAUGACGGCCUUCGGGUUGUAAACUCCUUUCGCUAGGGACGAAGCUGUUUGUGACGGUACCUAGAUAAGAAGCACCGGCUAACUACGUG